Long non-coding RNA from Papilio machaon (common yellow swallowtail), 195 nucleotides. RefSeq lists it as uncharacterized. The transcript is spliced from 3 exons. NCBI's taxonomy places the organism in Eukaryota, Metazoa, Arthropoda, Insecta, Lepidoptera, Papilionidae. The record is from RefSeq and is a predicted model, not a curated record.
AGGAGUGAAAAAAGUAAUAGAAAUGUGUCAAUAUCUAUUUAGAUUGUUUCUAAAUGUUUUACAUCAACUCAAAAUUAAGAUUUACAAAGUAUUGUCUAUGUUGGACCCGGACGAUUUGUGUCGCUAUGCAUGCUUCAGUACCGCGGAAUAUAAACCCACGAAGAAAAUAAGAAACAAGUCGUCAAUGUGAACCCA